GCCUUGUGGUUCCUGGAGUCGGCUCCAAAGUGCCGAGCUGUAGGUUUUUAUUGACGGGCGCAUACGGACUUCUGCGAUUUUAUGCAUGGAACCUGCAGCUACAGCAGCGCUCCAUAGCCCGGUUGCAGAUACACUC
Small nucleolar RNA from Poecilia formosa (Amazon molly), 136 nucleotides. Lineage: Eukaryota; Metazoa; Chordata; Actinopteri; Cyprinodontiformes; Poeciliidae. The record is from Ensembl.